GAGGCCUUCCAAGCUUC
RNAcentral lists this unclassified non-coding RNA (17 nucleotides) under Mus musculus (house mouse). RNAcentral describes it as "oocyte_clustered_small_RNA10510". The record is from RNAcentral. Lineage: Eukaryota; Metazoa; Chordata; Mammalia; Rodentia; Muridae.